RNAcentral lists this ribosomal RNA (727 nucleotides) under uncultured bacterium. Its description in RNAcentral is "bacterial SSU rRNA". It matches the Rfam family "Bacterial small subunit ribosomal RNA", at positions 772 to 1499 of the family's 1533-position model. The record is from RNAcentral.
ACAGGAUUAGAUACCCUGGUAGUCCACGCCGUAAACGAUGUCGACUUGGAGGCUGUUCCCUUGAGGAGUGGCUUCCGGAGCUAACGCGUUAAGUCGACCGCCUGGGGAGUACGGCCGCAAGGUUAAAACUCAAAUGAAUUGACGGGGGCCCGCACAAGCGGUGGAGCAUGUGGUUUAAUUCGAUGCAACGCGAAGAACCUUACCUACUCUUGACAUCCAGAGAACUUUCCAGAGAUGGAUUGGUGCCUUCGGGAACUUUGAGACAGGUGCUGCAUGGCUGUCGUCAGCUCGUGUUGUGAAAUGUUGGGUUAAGUCCCGCAACGAGCGCAACCCUUAUCCUUUGUUGCCAGCGAUUCGGUCGGGAACUCAAAGGAGACUGCCGGUGAUAAACCGGAGGAAGGUGGGGAUGACGUCAAGUCAUCAUGGCCCUUACGAGUAGGGCUACACACGUGCUACAAUGGCGCAUACAAAGAGAAGCGACCUCGCGAGAGCAAGCGGACCUCAUAAAGUGCGUCGUAGUCCGGAUCGGAGUCUGCAACUCGACUCCGUGAAGUCGGAAUCGCUAGUAAUCGUGGAUCAGAAUGCCACGGUGAAUACGUUCCCGGGCCUUGUACACACCGCCCGUCACACCAUGGGAGUGGGUUGCAAAAGAAGUAGGUAGCUUAACCUUCGGGAGGGCGCUUACCACUUUGUGAUUCAUGACUGGGGUGAAGUCGUAACAAGGUAA